This 274-nucleotide ribosomal RNA is filed under the name uncultured bacterium. RNAcentral describes it as "partial 16S ribosomal RNA". It matches the Rfam family "Bacterial small subunit ribosomal RNA", at positions 523 to 796 of the family's 1533-position model. The record is from RNAcentral.
AGACGGCGGGGGCUAGCGUUGUUCGGAAUUACUGGGCGUAAAGCGCGCGUAGGCGGCCGUUCAAGUUGGGCGUGAAAGCCCCGGGCUCAACCUGGGAAUUGCAUUCGAAACUGCCUGGCUAGAGUAUGGGAGAGGGAAGCGGAAUUUCCGGUGUAGCGGUGAAAUGCGUAGAUAUCGGAAGGAACACCAGUGGCGAAGGCGGCUUCCUGGCCCAAUACUGACGCUCAGGUGCGAAAGCGUGGGUAGCGAACAGGAUUAGAAACCCCAGUAGUCC